RNAcentral lists this ribosomal RNA (497 nucleotides) under uncultured bacterium. RNAcentral describes it as "partial 16S ribosomal RNA". It matches the Rfam family "Bacterial small subunit ribosomal RNA", at positions 28 to 507 of the family's 1533-position model. The record is from RNAcentral.
GAUGAACGCUGGCGGCGUGCCUAAUACAUGCAAGUCGAGCGAACAGACGAGGAGCUUGCUCCUUCGACGUUAGCGGCGGACGGGUGAGUAACACGUAGGUAACCUACCUAUAAGACUGGGAUAACUUCGGGAAACCGGAGCUAAUACCGGAUAAUAUUUCGAACCGCAUGGUUCGAUAGUGAAAGAUGGCUUUGCUAUCACUUAUAGAUGGACCUGCGCCGUAUUAGCUAGUUGGUAAGGUAACGGCUUACCAAGGCAACGAUCCGUAGCCGACCUGAGAGGACGAUCAGCCACACUGGGACUGAGACACGGUCCAGACUCCUACGGGAGGCAGCAGUGGGGAAUUUUCGACAAUGGGCGCAAGCCUGAUGCAGCCACGCCGCGUGAAGGACGAAGGUCUUCGGGUCGUAAACUUCUUUUAUAAGGAACGAAAAAGCUCUGGCUAAUACGUGGGGCUCAUGACGGUACCGAAAGAAAAAGCACCGGCUAACUACGUG